Molecule: ribosomal RNA, 331 nt
Filed under: uncultured eukaryote
Lineage: Eukaryota
Description: partial 18S ribosomal RNA
Rfam family: Eukaryotic small subunit ribosomal RNA
Source: RNAcentral
CCCUUAGAUGUCCUGGGCCGCACGCGCGCUACACUGAUGCAUGCAACGAGUUUCAUUUCUCCUGGGUCGAGAGGCCCGGGUAAUCUGUUGAACGUGCAUCGUGAUAGGGAUAGAUCAUUGCAAUUAUUGAUCUUGAACGAGGAAUUCCUAGUAAACGCGAGUCAUCAGCUUGCGUCGAUUACGUCCCUGCCCUUUGUACACACCGCCCGUCGCUCCUACCGAUUGGGUGUGCUGGUGAAAUGUUCGGAUCGGCCGUUUGUCGCGGUUUCCGCGUCAUGUGGCUGAGAAGUUCAUUAAACCCUCCCACCUAGAGGAAGGAGAAGUCGUAACA